CCGUAGCCCAAGAGAUCGGGAUAACACCUGGAAACAGAUGCUAAUACCGGAUAACAACAGAUGAUGCCUAUCAACUGUUUAAAAGAUGGUUCUGCUAUCACUCUUGGAUGGACCUGCGGUGCAUUAGCUAGUUGGUAGGGUAACGGCCUACCAAGGCGAUGAUGCAUAGCCGAGUCGAGAGACUGAUCGGCCACAUUGGGACUGAGACACGGCCCAAACUCCUACGGGAGGCAGCAGUG
RNAcentral lists this ribosomal RNA (239 nucleotides) under uncultured Lactobacillus sp. RNAcentral describes it as "partial 16S ribosomal RNA". It matches the Rfam family "Bacterial small subunit ribosomal RNA", at positions 125 to 356 of the family's 1533-position model. The record is from RNAcentral. Lineage: Bacteria; Bacillati; Bacillota; Bacilli; Lactobacillales; Lactobacillaceae.